RNAcentral lists this ribosomal RNA (465 nucleotides) under Vreelandella stevensii. Its description in RNAcentral is "partial 16S ribosomal RNA". It matches the Rfam family "Bacterial small subunit ribosomal RNA", at positions 338 to 795 of the family's 1533-position model. Lineage: Bacteria; Pseudomonadati; Pseudomonadota; Gammaproteobacteria; Oceanospirillales; Halomonadaceae. The record is from RNAcentral.
CCUACGGGCGGCUGCAGUGGGGAAUAUUGGACAAUGGGCGAAAGCCUGAUCCAGCCAUGCCGCGUGUGUGAAGAAGGCCUUCGGGUUGUAAAGCACUUUCAGUGGGGAAGAAAGCCUUGGGGCUAAUACCCUCGAGGAAGGACAUCACCCACAGAAGAAGCACCGGCUAACUCCGUGCCAGCAGCCGCUGUAAUACGGAGGGUGCGAGCGUUAAUCGGAAUUACUGGGCGUAAAGCGCGCGUAGGCGGUCUGAUAAGCCGGUUGUGAAAGCCCCGGGCUCAACCUGGGAACGGCAUCCGGAACUGUCAGGCUAGAGUGCAGGAGAGGAAGGUAGAAUUCCCGGUGUAGCAGUGAAAUGCGUAGAGAUCGGGAGGAAUACCAGUGGCGAAGGCGGCCUUCUGGACUGACACUGACGCUGAGGUGCGAAAGCGUGGGUAGCAAACAGGAUUAGAUACCCCUGUAGUC